AUGGGUCAACUCGAGUCAGAGGUGACUGAUCUGAAGAACCGCUUUGAGGCCCUAGAGACGGAACUCCAAAAGGCCGACACCAAGUUCAAAUUCAGCAUAACUGAGCAAGAAAAACUAAAGAAAGAAUUUGAAACUGAAAAGAAGGCCUGGGCUGAUGAAAAAACUGCAUUGAUUAACCGAGCUGAGAAGGCAGAGGUGGCUCUGGAAGAAGCAACUGGCGAGUUAACCGGCUUAAAGCACCAUGUUUCUCAGAUGGUCUCGGCGAUCUUUGCUAAGUCGCCCUGCAAGUGUUUAAAUAUUUGA
Molecule: ribosomal RNA, 303 nt
Filed under: Triticum aestivum (bread wheat)
Lineage: Eukaryota; Viridiplantae; Streptophyta; Magnoliopsida; Poales; Poaceae
Description: partial small subunit ribosomal RNA
Source: RNAcentral